GUUCCCUUCAAUCUCCAAAACCCUUGUAUGUCUUUUUAUACCCCUUUCUCAGUUCACUCUCUCUUUCCGACACAAGGCACUACCUCGUUCCUCCUCCUCCCUCCGCCGUUCUCGUCGGGCAGGCGCAUUGAUGCGUGGGAGGGAACAGGGGGGGAAAAGUGUUGACCACCUCAUGUGUGUUGUAUGUGUGCAUGGCCUGGCCCCACCGCCGACUGCCGGCUUUGGCGGGCGGUGAGCAACUUACCAGCCGGCAAAACCAACCAACUUCCCUCCCCGACGUGGCUCUCUGAACGUUCGCGGUAGAUGCGGGCCCCAUCGGCCGAGGAUUCUACGUCGCCCCGCGCGCGCGGCUAGAAACCAAAUUAUACAACAAUGAACAAUCGACGCGAGGUGCUACGUUGGGUGGCCGUGGCGGAGGUGACUGCUGGACUGAACCUGAGACUUGGGAGGCGGGCAGGCGCCUUCAAUACCACCCGCGGUGCACCACAGCCUAACAUGGCUGGAAACCUCGGUGCUUUUACUGCGACAGGAGAAAACAAGCGAACACUUGUUGUGACGCGCACAAACACAAUGACGAGAAUUAUUCCAUCACUAACGGCAGAGACUGAAAGGACUUAACUGCAGUGCACAUAUUAUUAACAUAGUUACAUUGUAAUUAGUUUAAAAUGAACACUCUAUUUAUGCAAUUAAACAUAAAAAUUUUCACUUCAAAGCUGA
Molecule: long non-coding RNA, 717 nt
Organism: Zootermopsis nevadensis
Lineage: Eukaryota; Metazoa; Arthropoda; Insecta; Blattodea; Termopsidae
Source: RefSeq, a predicted model, not a curated record